This 117-nucleotide microRNA precursor is filed under the name Bombyx mori (domestic silkworm). RNAcentral's name for it is "microRNA bmo-mir-3389 precursor". The stretch from base 30 to 98 matches the Rfam family "mir-3389 microRNA precursor family". The record is from miRBase by way of RNAcentral. Lineage: Eukaryota; Metazoa; Arthropoda; Insecta; Lepidoptera; Bombycidae.
AGGGGACCCCGAAUGACGCCCCGCAGGACCCAGUCGUAGCCGAUGUUCCACAGCAGGGGGCCCAGGACAGACCCCUGCGGAACACCGCGCUCGACGGGGAAGCGGAACAUCGCCCCA